UACGAAGGGGGCUAGCGUUGCUCGGAAUCACUGGGCGUAAAGCGCACGUAGGCGGACUCUUAAGUCGGUGGUGAAAUCCUGGAGCUCAACUCCAGAACUGCCUUCGAUACUGAGAGUCUUGAGUCCGGGAGAGGUGAGUGGAACUGCGAGUGUAGAGGUGAAAUUCGUAGAUAUUCGCAAGAACACCAGUGGCGAAGGCGGCUCACUGGCCCGGUACUGACGC
This 223-nucleotide ribosomal RNA is filed under the name uncultured bacterium. Its description in RNAcentral is "partial 16S ribosomal RNA". It matches the Rfam family "Bacterial small subunit ribosomal RNA", at positions 524 to 746 of the family's 1533-position model. The record is from RNAcentral.